AAGGGAGACCUAAUUCAGGUAGGAGACGAAAAAAAAGUAGUCCCUACCAAGAAUCAAUCCCAAAAGGUCGGAGCGAGGCAAAAUUGGCUUUCAAACUAGGUUCUGGGUUCACACAAGACCUGAAUCAGGAACAAGGGCUAUUAGCUCAGGUGGUUAGAGCGCACCCCUGAUAAGGGUGAGGUCCCUGGUUCGAGUCCAGGAUGGCCCACCUGUACAGGUGGCAAAAACAAAGAAAAGAAGCGAGGAAUCAGCACCUUAUCUUACUUAUAUAGUGAGAGAGAAUGCUGGCUCUGAGUAAAGAGUCCAGAGGAACCUUGAAAACUGCAUAGAGCUAGGUGAAAAAGCCAAAAAAGAAGACCACAA
RNAcentral lists this transfer RNA (363 nucleotides) under uncultured Microcystis sp. Its description in RNAcentral is "partial miscellaneous RNA". The stretch from base 135 to 208 matches the Rfam family "tRNA". The record is from RNAcentral. Lineage: Bacteria; Bacillati; Cyanobacteriota; Cyanophyceae; Chroococcales; Microcystaceae.